This 253-nucleotide ribosomal RNA is filed under the name uncultured bacterium. RNAcentral's name for it is "partial 16S ribosomal RNA". It matches the Rfam family "Bacterial small subunit ribosomal RNA", at positions 524 to 776 of the family's 1533-position model. The record is from RNAcentral.
UACGAAGGGGGCUAGCGUUGUUCGGAAUUACUGGGCGUAAAGCGCACGUAGGCGGAUAUUUAAGUCAGGGGUGAAAUCCCGGGGCUCAACCCCGGAACUGCCUUUGAUACUGGGUAUCUCGAGUCCGAGAGAGGUGAGUGGAAUUCCGAGUGUAGAGGUGAAAUUCGUAGAUAUUCGGAGGAACACCAGUGGCGAAGGCAGCGAAUUGGCCCUAUAUUGACGCUCAGGCACGAAAGCAUGGGGAUCAAACAGG